RNAcentral lists this unclassified non-coding RNA (210 nucleotides) under Hevea brasiliensis (rubber tree). The record is from RNAcentral. Lineage: Eukaryota; Viridiplantae; Streptophyta; Magnoliopsida; Malpighiales; Euphorbiaceae.
UAACACUUGUAACCCUUUUGAGUGUUAGAAUAAACCACAAACACUCAUCUUUGGGCCCUAGGUUCUAGUUUCCCAACAUUUGAUCUAUGAACAAAGCAAACACGCCCACAAACCUUUGGAGGAAUAAUAUAUGAAUUCUUACCCUUAAGAACUUUUAGAGGACUCUUAAAAGUUUAGUGUGUAAAGAGGCAUUCGAUUAAUAAGAUAUGU